Molecule: ribosomal RNA, 230 nt
Filed under: Enterococcus faecium
Lineage: Bacteria; Bacillati; Bacillota; Bacilli; Lactobacillales; Enterococcaceae
Description: partial 16S ribosomal RNA
Rfam family: Bacterial small subunit ribosomal RNA
Source: RNAcentral
UUUUAUGAGAGUUUGAUCCUGGCUCAGGACGAACGCUGGCGGCGUGCCUAAUACAUGCAAGUCGAACGCUUCUUUUUCCACCGGAGCUUGCUCCACCGGAAAAAGAGGAGUGGCGAACGGGUGAGUAACACGUGGGUAACCUGCCCAUCAGAAGGGGAUAACACUUGGAAACAGGUGCUAAUACCGUAUAACAAUCGAAACCGCAUGGUUUUGAUUUGAAAGGCGCUUUC